GGGCGAGUGGCGGAACUGGCAUACGCGUACGGUUUAGGACCGUAUCCCGCAAGGGUUGAGGGUUCAACUCCCUCCUCGCCCACCA
RNAcentral lists this transfer RNA (85 nucleotides) under Candidatus Yanofskybacteria bacterium RIFCSPHIGHO2_01_FULL_44_24. RNAcentral's name for it is "tRNA-Leu". It matches the Rfam family "tRNA". Rfam says of the family: Transfer RNA (tRNA) molecules are approximately 80 nucleotides in length. Their secondary structure includes four short double-helical elements and three loops (D, anti-codon, and T loops). Further hydrogen bonds mediate the characteristic L-shaped molecular structure. tRNAs have two regions of fundamental functional importance: the anti-codon, which is responsible for specific mRNA codon recognition, and the 3' end, to which the tRNAs corresponding amino acid is attached (by aminoacyl-tRNA synthetases). tRNAs cope with the degeneracy of the genetic code in two manners: having more than one tRNA (with a specific anti-codon) for a particular amino acid; and 'wobble' base-pairing, i.e. permitting non-standard base-pairing at the 3rd anti-codon position. RNAcentral also lists the same sequence under 2 other names. Lineage: Bacteria; Candidatus Yanofskyibacteriota. The record is from RNAcentral.